This is a long non-coding RNA of Populus euphratica (Euphrates poplar), 1151 nucleotides long. RefSeq lists it as uncharacterized. The transcript is spliced from 2 exons. The record is from RefSeq and is a predicted model, not a curated record. NCBI's taxonomy places the organism in Eukaryota, Viridiplantae, Streptophyta, Magnoliopsida, Malpighiales, Salicaceae.
AGGAUGAUUUUUUUUUUCUGGGUUAAAAAUCAAAAGCAUUUAUCUUCAUUAAUGAAUGUAUAUAAUAUAAUCUGGUGGGUGUUGAUGAUCUGAGCUGGUAUAAACACAAUUCUUCUACAUAAAUCCGAGUCUAUGCAUUGGCUGAACCCCACAAGACAGCUGCAAUUUUAAAUUGAUCAUUCAAGAAAUCAUCAGGGUUGCAAGCUGAAGGCAAUCGAUUCACAAGUACUUCGGUGAACAUGGCAGGAUAAAAUUACAAAAAAGCAUCAGAAACUAAGCCCAAUGUUGCUUGUUUUCAAGUUUAUAUUCAUCUAAUAAUCUUCAGCAUUAUAACCAAGUACCUACAAACAGAAAAUCCGAACAAAACUCAAUUCACAACUCCUUUCCAUCUGUCUCUUCAACAAGCGACAAACGAAAAGAUGAAAAUACAUCUCAUCAUUUAUAAGAAAAGAAUGAAAGAACUGGAAUUCUGAACAACAAUCUCGAACAAGCUUGGAAACACAGAAAAAUAAAUGUCUACUGCUGAACACACCAUGGAAAAAACGUAGUUUCUCUCAAAAUUACACAAUUAAGGACAAAACUUAAGUAACAUCAUAUCGUUAAUGGUAUGUAGUCACUGACAUUAAAGUGAAACCACAAAUCCAGUUCACUAUCAAAUGCCACCAACAGAGCUACUUUCGGUGAGCUUACUGACCAUUCACAUAAAAAACAGCCACAGGGCUAAUAUGUGAUUGGCUAAUUGGCCACCGUCAUGACACACACCAGCACCGCCUAAGUUGGAGCUAAAAGACAUUGAAGAUCACUAUGACACCACAUUCAAAAGCUACGAUCACACUAAACGCACCAUUAAACUUUUUAUAGCUUGUUAUAUAAAUAAGGAACAAUCCUGAACUCAAAAGGAAUUUCCAAGCUAAAUAAGCUGACUUCUAAAACCAGAACUGCAUUGCCACUAAAUAGGAAAACGCAUUGACUACCAAAUGGGAAAACCAAUCUACCAGCACCGGCUGAUAUCAAUAGGGACUGUUCUACGACAAUUAUAACAGAAGUAAAUUUAACACAACUCGAAUAGCAAUGCGAAACUACUGAUUUACCACCUAAACUUCAAUAAACUUUGGAAAUCCUAGGAUUAUACUACAAAUAAGCAGUAAGAA